GAGACGGACUGACGGCCCUUUUCCCCACUGGAGCGUGCAGCGCCCGGGAGCUGCUUUCCUCUCCCCUCUGCGGCGUUGGGACUACAGAAGAGGCCGCCGGGCUCGCCCGCGAAGGGACAAGCCGGGGCUUGUCGAGCCCGCGAACAGGAAGGAGGGAGUCCUAUCGGAGGGCUCCGUGCUUUCGAGGAGCAGUGACAGAAGAGGCCAUUUUGAAGAACUGACAUCUGAGCAGUAGAAAGAUGGCAUCUGAACGAACUGCUGAGAGAGACCAUCUGAAGGUCCAAAUUCCCCCAACAUUAGACACAGACAAUAUCAAGGACAGCAGAUGGUCAAAAAUGAAAAAUAUUUGUAUUCCCCUUGCUGUUGGUGUUGCUGUUGGUGUUGCUGUUGG
Non-coding RNA from Python bivittatus (Burmese python), 391 nucleotides. Lineage: Eukaryota; Metazoa; Chordata; Lepidosauria; Squamata; Pythonidae. The record is from RefSeq and is a predicted model, not a curated record.